RNAcentral lists this ribosomal RNA (1339 nucleotides) under Cryptocellus becki. RNAcentral describes it as "partial large subunit ribosomal RNA". It matches the Rfam family "Eukaryotic large subunit ribosomal RNA", at positions 666 to 1894 of the family's 3401-position model. Lineage: Eukaryota; Metazoa; Arthropoda; Arachnida; Ricinulei; Ricinoididae. The record is from RNAcentral.
CCAAGGAGUCUAACAUGUGUGCGAGUCACCGGGUCUUGCCUAGGCUCGGAGGCGAAAUGAAAGUGAAGGCCGAUCUGGGCGUCGGCUGCGGUGUGAUCCGUGUGUGCACUAUCCCGUCGAUCCCUUGUGGAAGGCGGGGCCACCGGCGCAACACCGGCCCGUCCCGUCCGCAGCGUCGGUGGGGCGGAGCGAGAGCAUACACGUUGGGACCCGAAAGAUGGUGAACUAUGCCUGGGCAGGACGAAGCCAGAGGAAACUCUGGUGGAGGUCCGCAGCGAUUCUGACGUGCAAAUCGAUCGUCAGACCUGGGUAUAGGGGCGAAAGACUAAUCGAACCAUCUAGUAGCUGGUUCCCUCCGAAGUUUCCCUCAGGAUAGCUGGCGCUCGAGGGAGGCAGUCUCAUCCGGUAAAGCGAAUGAUUAGAGGCCUUGGGGCCGAAACGACCUCAACCUAUUCUCAAACUUUCAAUGGGUGAGAAGUCCGGCUUGCUCGACUGAAGCCCGGACGUCCCAGGAUGCGAGUGCCCAGUGGGCCACUUUUGGUAAGCAGAACUGGCGCUGUGGGAUGAACCAAACGCUGGGUUAAGGCGCCCGAUGCGAGACGCUCAUCAGAUCCCAUGAAAGGUGUUGGUUGCUAUAGACAGCAGGACGGUGGCCAUGGAAGUCGGAAUCCGCUAAGGAGUGUGUAACAACUCACCUGCCGAAGCAACUAGCCCUGAAAAUGGAUGGCGCUGUAGCGUCGAGCCCAUACCCGGCCGCCCCGGCUGGGCACGGAAGCUUAUGCCGGGGUGAGUAGGAGGUGUCGCAGCGGCGUGCGUUGAAGGUGCCGGGCGUGGGCCCGCCUGGAGCCGCCGCUGGUGCAGAUCUUGGUGGUAGUAGCAAAUACUCAAGUGAGAACCUUGAGGACUGAGGUGGAGAAGGGUUCCAUGUGAACAGCAGUUGAACAUGGGUCAGUCGGUCCUAAGGGAUAGGAGAAAUCCGUUCCGAAGCGGGACCUGCGUGCGCCGUAAGGUCCCGUGGUCGACCGAAAGGGAAUCGGGUUAAUAUUCCCGAACCCGGAUGCGGAGAUCGGCCCUUCGGGGUCAACUGCGGUAACGCAACCAAACUCGGAGACGUCGAUCGGGGUCCCGGGAAGAGUUGUCUUUUCUUUGUAAGGGAUCGGCUCCCUGGAAUCGGCUCGCCCGGAGAUAGGGAUGCUGUUCCCGUAAAGCACCGCGGCUCUUGCGGUGUCCGGAGCGCUCCGGUCGGCCCUUGAAAAUCCGAGGGCGAGUGUGAUUUUCGUGCCGGACCGUACCCAUAUCCGCAGCAGGUCUCCAAGGUGAACAGCCUCUAGUCGAUGGA